UCCUUCACAUAAAAAUAAAACUAAAAAUAAAAAUAAAAAAGUCUUCCACACUAUGAAGUAUGGACAGAUGAAGAUUGAAUGUUUCUAAACUAUGUCGUGUAUCAUGAACUCAUUGCCACGUCACUUCCAUACAUUCGCAAUGUACGGGUCAACCCUGUACAGGCAUAAACGUUAAAAGACAUCUGUACAAAUUGUGGUGGAUCUGGCGGUGGAGCUUGGCAAUUGGCCGUUUUAAGCUUCCUUGCCUAUGUUAUCGUGCUACUUUAAUCAGGGGAUCCAGGGCCGAUUAAAAUAUUUUCCCUAACCUAAUUAUUUUUCCAAGCAUGCUUGGUGAUAAGGAUUGAAAAUAACAACGGAUCUCGUCAUGCCAUACCAACUUGCUUAAUAAAACAACUAGGAGGACG
This 404-nucleotide long non-coding RNA is filed under the name Populus trichocarpa (black cottonwood). RNAcentral's name for it is "long non-coding RNA (PTRI_LNC002186)". The record is from RNAcentral. Lineage: Eukaryota; Viridiplantae; Streptophyta; Magnoliopsida; Malpighiales; Salicaceae.